GCAGCGAAAGCGAGUCUGAAUAGGGCGUUGAGUAUUUGGUCGUAGACCCGAAACCAGGUGAUCUACCCUUGGUCAGGUUGAAGUUCAGGUAACACUGAAUGGAGGACCGAACCGACUUACGUUGAAAAGUGAGCGGAUGAACUGAGGGUAGCGGAGAAAUUCCAAUCGAACUUGGAGAUAGCUGGUUCUCUCCGAAAUAGCUUUAGGGCUAGCCUCAAGUGAUGAUUAUUGGAGGUAGAGCACUGUUUGGACGAGGGGCCCCUCUCGGGUUACCGAAUUCAGACAAACUCCGAAUGCCAAUUAAUUUAACUUGGGAGUCAGAACAUGGGUGAUAAGGUCCGUGUUCGAAAGGGAAACAGCCCAGACCACCAGCUAAGGUCCCAAAAUAUAUGUUAAGUGGAAAAGGAUGUGGCGUUGCCCAGACAACUAGGAUGUUGGCUUAGAAGCAGCCAUCAUUUAAAGAGUGCGUAAUAGCUCACUAGUCGAGUGACACUGCGCCGAAAAUGUACCGGGGCUAAACAUAUUACCGAAGCUGUGGAUUGUCCUUUGGACAAUGGUAGGAGAGCGUUCUAAGGGCGUCGAAGCAUGAUCGCAAGGACAUGUGGAGCGCUUAGAAGUGAGAAUGCCGGUGUGAGUAG
RNAcentral lists this ribosomal RNA (638 nucleotides) under Staphylococcus epidermidis. RNAcentral's name for it is "bacterial LSU rRNA". It matches the Rfam family "Bacterial large subunit ribosomal RNA", at positions 668 to 1309 of the family's 2925-position model. The record is from RNAcentral. Lineage: Bacteria; Bacillati; Bacillota; Bacilli; Caryophanales; Staphylococcaceae.